UGGGGAAUAUUGCACAAUGGGGGAAACCCUGAUGCAGCGACGCCGCGUGAGCGAUGAAGUAUUUCGGUAUGUAAAGCUCUAUCAGCAGGGAAGAAAAUGACGGUACCUGACUAAGAAGCCCCGGCUAACUACGUGCCAGCAGCCGCGGUAAUACGUAGGGGGCAAGCGUUAUCCGGAUUUACUGGGUGUAAAGGGAGCGUAGACGGUUUUGCAAGCCAGAUGUGAAAACCCGGGGCUCAACCCCGGGAGUGCAUUUGGAACUGUAUGACUAGAGUGUCGGAGAGGCAAGUGGAAUUCCUAGUGUAGCGGUGAAAUGCGUAGAUAUUAGGAGGAACACCAGUGGCGAAGGCGGCUUGCUGGACGAUGACUGACGUUGAGGCUCGAAAGCGUGGGGAGCAAACAGG
RNAcentral lists this ribosomal RNA (404 nucleotides) under uncultured Lachnospiraceae bacterium. Its description in RNAcentral is "bacterial SSU rRNA". It matches the Rfam family "Bacterial small subunit ribosomal RNA", at positions 355 to 776 of the family's 1533-position model. The record is from RNAcentral. Lineage: Bacteria; Bacillati; Bacillota; Clostridia; Lachnospirales; Lachnospiraceae.